AGGACGAACGCUGGCGGCGUGCUUAACACAUGCAAGUGGUGCGACGAACCAGGGCUUGCCCUGGGGCUAAGCCGCGAACGGGUGAGUAACACGUGAGUAAUCUGCCCCGAUGACCGGGACAACCCGAGGAAACUCGGGCUAAUACCGGAUGUGGUGCACAGGCAUAAGCUUGUGUACUAAAGGAAGCUUCGGCCUCCGCAUUGGGAGGAGCUCGCGGCCCAUUAGCUAGUUGGUGGGGUAAUGGCCUACCAAGGCGACGACGGGUA
RNAcentral lists this ribosomal RNA (266 nucleotides) under uncultured bacterium. RNAcentral describes it as "partial small subunit ribosomal RNA". It matches the Rfam family "Bacterial small subunit ribosomal RNA", at positions 26 to 285 of the family's 1533-position model. The record is from RNAcentral.